RNAcentral lists this long non-coding RNA (246 nucleotides) under Olea europaea (common olive). RNAcentral's name for it is "long non-coding RNA (OEUR_LNC006800)". The record is from RNAcentral. Lineage: Eukaryota; Viridiplantae; Streptophyta; Magnoliopsida; Lamiales; Oleaceae.
UUUCUUACUCUAUAUACAAAUCAGAACCGCCAACGGUUCGUCGACUGCAGAAUCACCACCAUCAACCAUCGCUGGAUGCACGCAGAUCAGAACCACCACCAACCAUCAGAAACACAAAUCUUGACCACCAACGGAUCCAACACCACCAACCAUCACCGGCUACAACUUUCUUACUCUACACACAAAUCAAAACCACCAAUACUUUGUCUACUAUGAAACCCCUACUACCUUCGAUGGCUGUACGGA